UACGUAGGCAGCGAGCGUUGUUCGGACUUACUGGGCGUAAAGAGUGUGUAGGCGGUGCUCUAAGUUCGGUGUGAAAUCUCCUGGCUUAACUGGGAGGGUGCGCCGGAAACUGGGGUGCUCGAGCGUGGGAGAGGAAAGCGGAAUUCCUGGUGUAGCGGUGAAAUGCGUAGAUAUCAGGAGGAACACCUGUGGUGUAGACAGCUUUCUGGGCCAUUGCUGACGCUGAGACACGAAAGCGUGGGUAGCAAACAGG
RNAcentral lists this ribosomal RNA (253 nucleotides) under uncultured bacterium. RNAcentral describes it as "partial 16S ribosomal RNA". It matches the Rfam family "Bacterial small subunit ribosomal RNA", at positions 524 to 776 of the family's 1533-position model. The record is from RNAcentral.